AUGAGCAACCGCCAGACUCGCUUAUCUCCUUUCCGACAAUCGGCUGGUGUCGAAUAAUGGGUUUUCUGCGCUAUCUUUUCGCUCUAGCUUUUGCAGUUUCCAGUGAAGCGUCUAAUUUGGAGCCCUACAAUCGGAGGCUCAUUGUGUCUAACGUGUGCGAGCAAUAAUUGCCUAAAGAGAACGACUGCACGACUUGCCUCUCGUCCUGUACAAAAAGGAAACAUAACAACGCAUACAAAGUGAACAAGUGAACAUUACGUCUCACCGGCUGCUGUGAUACUGCAUCAGCCAUACGAAGAUGUCCAGAGCACUACUGCUGUGUUUGCCCUUCGUCUUUGCUCUGCUGGCUCAGAACGAGGCCUUUGUCUGUGAAUCAGACGCCUGCGACCAAAUCACUUGCGAAGACAUAUCGGAAGUGAACUGCGACGGACGUAUUGUGAAGAACGGUGGCCUCUGCGGAUGUUGUGACGUCUGCAUUGAACAGCUUGAGCAUGGAGAGAAGUGCCUCGAGCAUGUGUUGACGUUGCUGCCACUGAAAACUGAAUGCAAGGAGGGCCUCGUCUGCCACCAACAAAGACACGUCUGUGUUGCAGAAGACGAAGUUGUGUGAUGAACGGCCACUUCGUUUACUUGUAGUUUACUUCCACAGUCCUUUGUUUCUGUGAACUUCUUUAUUAUUUUGAGGUUGUACUUAAAUGUAAUAAAAUCAAAGGUCAAAUACAUAAUGAUUAUGAGUG
This is a long non-coding RNA of Ornithodoros turicata, 737 nucleotides long. RefSeq lists it as uncharacterized. Lineage: Eukaryota; Metazoa; Arthropoda; Arachnida; Ixodida; Argasidae. The record is from RefSeq and is a predicted model, not a curated record. The transcript is spliced from 3 exons.